RNAcentral lists this long non-coding RNA (708 nucleotides) under Mus musculus (house mouse). Its description in RNAcentral is "predicted gene 10549". The record is from RNAcentral. Lineage: Eukaryota; Metazoa; Chordata; Mammalia; Rodentia; Muridae.
GAGAAGCCAGAGAUGAGGAAAGGUUCACUUUCUGGAUUGGACCCCCUCGAAGAAGGACCACCCAUGGUCCGUGAUGCAACCGGAGGCCGUGUUGGUAUCUCUGGUCCACGCCGCUGGCUGCUCCAGGCGGCAUGAAGCCUGAGAUCCUAGCGGACAUAUAUGGUCUGUGCUGUUGACUGACGCCUUGGUGAUGUCCUUGGGCUUUGCUGCCUCGUGCUGAUGUCAGUGGCCUGUGUAGCCACCUGAGGCUAUGUUGAGGCCUCAGGUCCAUUCAGCUGCUGAGGGGCAUGAGUGGGUUGUUGGUGCUUAAUAAGGCCAAUGUUACUACUGAAGUGCAUGCAGUCAUUGAUGUCUGGGCUACUGCCUGAAGCCAUGUUGAUAUCCAUGGGAAAAGGAAAGUUGUUCUCCUCCCCCACCCCCCACAGCCCACACACCCCGCUUAUGGCUGAGGCAGGGGCCCAGUGGUGCUAUGGGCAACAGAGAGCUGGCCCCAACCCUCCCCCACGCUGGCUGACUGUGAUGCGGGCACUAAAGGGCUGGCCCUGCUCCUCUCUGGCCACAGCAGAGCUCUCCUCAGUUGAUGACUUCUGGUGUGGAUGCAGAGAAAGACUCAUGCUCCCUUGUGAAGCUGCCCACUAGGAAUGUGGCCAUGCUCCAGAACAUCUACGGUGCAGACACAGACACAGGCAGAGGGAGUAACCCAUGAAG